Long non-coding RNA from Melospiza melodia melodia, 216 nucleotides. RefSeq lists it as uncharacterized. The record is from RefSeq and is a predicted model, not a curated record. NCBI's taxonomy places the organism in Eukaryota, Metazoa, Chordata, Aves, Passeriformes, Passerellidae. The transcript is spliced from 3 exons.
CAGGUGCCGAUGCCCCGCUGCAGGUGCAGCCCCAGGUGCAUCCACAGGGGAAUCUCCAGGUGCGGUUGGUGAACGGCUCCUCCAGGUGCGUGGGCCGGGUGGAGGUGCUGCACAGGAACAGGUGGGGCUCCGUCUGCGACGACACCUGGGACAUGGCGGACGCACAGGUGAUCUGCCGCUCCCUGGGCUGCGGCUCCGCCCUGGCCGCCCCCGGCC